CAAUAGCGUAUAUUUAAGUUGUUGCAGUUAAAAAGCUCGUAGUCGGAUUUUGGCUGAGAACGAUCGGUCCGCCGUUAGGUGUGCACUGAUUGGUCUCAGCUUCCUGGUGAGGAGGUGUGCUUCACGGCCACUUAGUCACCGUGGUUACUUUGAAAAAAUUAGAGUGUUCAAAGCGGGCUUACGCUUGAAUAUAUUAGCAUGGAAUAACACCAUAGGACUCCUGUCCUAUUUCGCUGGUCUCGGGACGGGAGUAAUGAUUAAGAGGAACAGUUGGGGGCAUUCGUAUUUCAUUGUCAGAGGUGAAAUUCUUGGAUUUAUGAAAGACGAACUUCUGCGAAAGCAUUUGCCAAGGAUGUUUUCAUUGA
RNAcentral lists this ribosomal RNA (365 nucleotides) under uncultured eukaryote. Its description in RNAcentral is "partial 18S ribosomal RNA". It matches the Rfam family "Eukaryotic small subunit ribosomal RNA", at positions 592 to 976 of the family's 1831-position model. The record is from RNAcentral.